RNAcentral lists this ribosomal RNA (402 nucleotides) under uncultured bacterium. RNAcentral's name for it is "bacterial SSU rRNA". It matches the Rfam family "Bacterial small subunit ribosomal RNA", at positions 355 to 774 of the family's 1533-position model. The record is from RNAcentral.
UGGGGAAUCUUGCACAAUGGGGGCAACCCUGAUGCAGCGACGCCGCGUGAGCGAUGAAGCCCUUCGGGGCGUAAAGCUCUUUCGACCGGAACGAUAAUGACGGUACCGGGAGAAGAAGCUGCGGCUAACUACGUGCCAGCAGCCGCGGUAAUACGUAGGCAGCAAGCGUUGUUCGGAGUUACUGGGCGUAAAGAGUGCGUAGGCGGUUUUCUAAGUUCGGUGUGAAAUCUCCCGGCUUAACUGGGAGGGUGCGCCGAAGACUGGGAAGCUGGAGUGUGGGAAAGGCAGGCGGAAUUCCUGGUGUAGCGGUGAAACGCGUAGAUAUCAGGAGGCACACCGGCGGUGUAGACGGCUUGCUAGACCAUAACUGACGCUGAGGCACGAAAGCGUGGGUAGCAAACA